CCUACGGGGGGCAGCAGUGGGGAAUAUUGGACAAUGGGGGGAACCCUGAUCCAGCCAUGCCGCGUGUGUGAAGAAGGCCCUCGGGUUGUAAAGCACUUUCAGUGAGGAAGAACGCCUGGUGGUUAAUACCCAUCAGGAAAGACAUCACUCACAGAAGAAGCACCGGCUAACUCCGUGCCAGCAGCCGCGGUAAUACGGAGGGUGCGAGCGUUAAUCGGAAUUACUGGGCGUAAAGCGCGCGUAGGUGGCUUGAUAAGCCGGUUGUGAAAGCCCCGGGCUCAACCUGGGAACGGCAUCCGGAACUGUCAAGCUAGAGUGAAGGAGAGGAAGGUAGAAUUCCCGGUGUAGCGGUGAAAUGCGUAGAGAUCGGGAGGAAUACCAGUGGCGAAGGCGGCCUUCUGGACUGACACUGACACUGAGGUGCGAAAGCGUGGGUAGCAAACAGGAUUAGAUACCCCUGUAGUC
RNAcentral lists this ribosomal RNA (465 nucleotides) under Vreelandella stevensii. Its description in RNAcentral is "partial 16S ribosomal RNA". It matches the Rfam family "Bacterial small subunit ribosomal RNA", at positions 338 to 795 of the family's 1533-position model. The record is from RNAcentral. Lineage: Bacteria; Pseudomonadati; Pseudomonadota; Gammaproteobacteria; Oceanospirillales; Halomonadaceae.